AGUGAACGCUGGCGGCGUGCCUAAUACAUGCAAGUAGAAGGAAGUGGCGCACGGGUGAGUAAUGUAUAGCUAAUCUGCCCCUUGCUGGAGGACAACAGUUAGAAAUGAUUGCUAAUACUCCAUAGCAAGGGAUGAGACUAUAACGUAUAAGCUAGUCGGGGGGGUAACGGCCUACCGAGGCUAUGACGCGUAACUGGGCUGAGAGGAUGAUCAGUGAAAUUGUAACGGAGACACGGUCCAAGCACCUACGGGAGGCAGCAGUAGGGAAUAGUGCGCAAGGGGGGAAACCCGAGCGCAGCAUCGCGGCGUGGAGGACGACACUUGUCGGAGCGUAAACUCCUUUUGUUAGGGAAGCGUUACCUAACGAAUAAGCACCGGCUAACUCCGUGCCAGCAGCCGCGGUAAUAC
This 408-nucleotide ribosomal RNA is filed under the name uncultured bacterium. RNAcentral describes it as "partial 16S ribosomal RNA". It matches the Rfam family "Bacterial small subunit ribosomal RNA", at positions 29 to 526 of the family's 1533-position model. The record is from RNAcentral.